This is a long non-coding RNA of Coregonus clupeaformis (lake whitefish), 219 nucleotides long. RefSeq lists it as uncharacterized. The transcript has 3 exons. NCBI's taxonomy places the organism in Eukaryota, Metazoa, Chordata, Actinopteri, Salmoniformes, Salmonidae. The record is from RefSeq and is a predicted model, not a curated record.
CCAGCACAGGAGAGAUGAACAGAGGCAGCUGCUGUCUGUGUUACGCUUUUUAUUGUAAAAGCAAGCAGAGCAGAAACGGGCUACUCUUUAGUUGACUGAUCUAGCUGGCAAGACCUGAAUCGAACGAUGAAACCAGCGGCCAAACGACUGAAGAUUGAUAUUCUGACAUUUUUUCAGCACAAUGAUCAGAUGCUGACAGGUGUCCCUGCAGGGUCAGAC